Molecule: long non-coding RNA, 625 nt
Filed under: Homo sapiens (human)
Lineage: Eukaryota; Metazoa; Chordata; Mammalia; Primates; Hominidae
Description: HSALNT0000861
Source: RNAcentral
GCCUGCAUGAGAUGCUUUCCAAAUUUCCACGAGGCUGACAAGUGGCAUUCCAUGAAAAGUCAGGGAAAUUUGCAUUCGCAAGCAUUUGCCAGCAUUUGUAGAAACCCAUGGCAUACUAGGUAGGGACUGAGGAGGGAACAAGUUUCCUCAGGGGUCCUAAGAAAACCCUGGCCACAGUUUGCUCCCUGACAGAGUUCAUUACUUCCACACAAAAGAAGGGCCUUGAGGAUCUUUGCCAUGUUUGCCUACAGCUGUGAAAUCAGAGACGGCCAGGAGCUGCUAAAUCCCUAGGAAUUUCCUGGGUGACAGGAGUGUCUUCUGUUGUAAUGAGGUGACUUUUUGUGGGUUCCUGGAUGGGCGCUGGCCACUCAAGAGACCAGCGUGGAGAGGAGAGACAGGCUGGAGAUGGAGUUCAUAAUGAAUCGUGCUUACGAGAUGAAAAUCCCUGAACUGCAGAGUUUGGGAAACUUCCAGGCUGGUGAACAAGAACACGUCCACACUCUGGGAGGGAGUGCACCCCAACUCUGCAGGGAAAGAAGCUCCUGCAUGGGGAUCCUCUGGACCUCGCCCUGUGCCCCUCUUCAUCUAUCUUAUCCUUUAUUAAACAGUAAACUGGUAAACCUAA